GCCACUGAGUAUGUUGGUUGCAAAGGUGGUCGCCAAAUUGUGCAAAUGAUAAUUUUUGUAAUUAGUGGCUAAUUUGGUUGCUAUUUGUAACCAAUAUGUUUCGUCCACUAGUUUCCGUCGCUAAAACGCUUUUUUCUAGUAGUGGGUGCAGGCAUGAUGAAGUUCCUGAAGCACAGGAUUUCCGUCAAGGAGAAAAAAUCACACCUUUGGGUUGUUGUCCUUGGUCAGCCUUCACCAUAAGGCAAGUGGUACUUUUUUUAUGUUUUCUUUCCUUUUAUGUCUAAUUUUAUCACAAUACGUGCUCUUUUCCUAUAUGAUUUCCCUGAGAAACAAAUCGCACCUUUGGGUUGUUGUCGCUGGCCAUCCUCCACCAUAAGAGAAUCGUGGAUUGAAAGAAUAGGAAAAAGUUUCAAAAGAAUUUUUGGUAGGCUGUAAAGAUUGAUGUCAACGAAUAUUCUAUUUGAGCACAACCACAGAAUCGAAGGCUAGCAAGAAGAAGCAAAAAGAUAGUCAAAGCUCAAGGGAUUCAUCACGAAGGCAAGUGCUCCAGCGGAAGCUAUCAAUUCAAAGGGAAGACCGGGGGAGGGAGCAGCUCAUCCGUUAUGAAGCAUUUGAGUUUAUGUAAUUUUUUCUACAUUAUGGGUGGUUUUUACAAUAAGUUGGCAUGAUGAAUUGCAUUGCUUCUUUAGAUGAGAUAAAAAUGAAUUGACAUUAUGUUCUGUUCUUGUUUUCUUGUACGUAUCUUUUUUCUUUGUUUUAUUUGUUGGAGCUAAGAACUUUGACAUUAUUUGAUAUGGAUUAAUAGGAGCUGGGUAGAAUAGUCAUGACUAGUAUUUUUUUUUA
Long non-coding RNA from Glycine soja, 843 nucleotides. RefSeq lists it as uncharacterized. Lineage: Eukaryota; Viridiplantae; Streptophyta; Magnoliopsida; Fabales; Fabaceae. The transcript has 2 exons. The record is from RefSeq and is a predicted model, not a curated record.